GCCAAGCGAUGGCGCGCUUAAGAAGAGCUCAUCUUUGCUCGCGAGAGAGACAGAGACAACGAAUGAGAAACGCGAGCGAGAGCGAAGAAAGAGUGCCAGGGAUUCCAACAUUUUUGCGCCAAGGGUGGAAAUUUUCCAGGCCGGGGUUUGGUGUGCUGUGGUACAGGGUCACGCAAAGCACACGCGGAGGCCACAAAUUCAUGAUCUCUUAACAAACGCGAAAAAAGCGCCAAGCCUUUUUAAAUUUAAACAUGGAGAAUAUGCUGCUGAUGCUUUCCAUCUUGA
Selaginella moellendorffii is the source of this 285-nucleotide long non-coding RNA. RefSeq lists it as uncharacterized. NCBI's taxonomy places the organism in Eukaryota, Viridiplantae, Streptophyta, Lycopodiopsida, Selaginellales, Selaginellaceae. The record is from RefSeq and is a predicted model, not a curated record. The transcript has 2 exons.